Long non-coding RNA from Ornithodoros turicata, 4572 nucleotides. RefSeq lists it as uncharacterized. The transcript is spliced from 3 exons. Lineage: Eukaryota; Metazoa; Arthropoda; Arachnida; Ixodida; Argasidae. The record is from RefSeq and is a predicted model, not a curated record.
CUAAGUGUGGUCCGACUUCGUUGUGUCACCCUGUACAGGGACGUGCUCUUGUCCAGGCGGCGCGCCGAACACUGUGGCCGCAGCAGCACAAGUGGGACAAUUUUAACUGUCCGGUCGCUCUCUGUGUCGCCUUUUCCUUCCUACCGGCUUCCUUGCCACUCAGCGGAUCGUCCCAAUGCCUGCUACAUGGCUCCUGCUAAAGGCCCGUGCAAGGCAAAAAUCACGAGGUUCUACUUCAAUCCAAGAUCUCUGGAUUGCCUGAAAUUUAUCUACUAAGGAUGUGGGGGAAACGCCAAUAAUUUUGCCACAUAUCAAGGAUGCAUGAAAACGUGUAAAUGUCGUUCCUGCGCAAGGUAGACACAGAUCUCCGUUUUUAUAUGCCGUCAGCGCCUCCUCGACCCAUCACGUCGCUCAUCUACAGGCUUCGCCUCAACGUGCCAUACAGUGGACGGCAAGGUUUCGUCCCCCAACUGUGUGAUGUAGUUGAGGACGUGGAUCAUAUACUCCAAGACUGUCCGGGGUACAGUGCACACCGUUGUACCCUUGUGUCAUCGCUGGCCCUCCUGGAUAAUCGGCCAUACUCCACCGAAACGGUUCUUGGGUGCUGACCAAUCUGCUGGGCAAAUCACCUCAUACCUGCCAUGCGCACUCUCGUGCAAUUUGUCGUCUCGACAGACCUCUUUGACACUUUGUGACGCGCUUUUUUAGCAUUGAGAUUUCGCACGUGGACUCUCCCACACUGUUGCUUUUGGUUCCAAGUUUUGUGGUGAUGUUUUCAUCCAUUCCGUUUCAAAGUGUAUAGAUUUGUGUAGUUUCCCUUUCAUUUCUGAAUAACGCGUCCUGGAGUAGCCAGUCCGGAGUGGCUCGAGACUAACAUCUCAAUUUUUUCUUUACAAAUCAAUCAGUCAAAUUACAUUUACUAUUUCAGUUAUACAAGUGUUUAUUUUGUAUUUUUUUAUUUCAAUAUACCUCCAAAGGUCCCUUCAGGGACAUUACAUUAGGGAGUGCGCCUUAACCUGUAGGUCAAUAACAUUACACAAAUAUCUUAAGAUGCAAAAUUCAUGUGAUAUCCCGAUGAUAUGACAGUACUUAUUAGAGGAUUUUUAAUCAAGGUAAUGUCAUCUUAACUAAAGUAAAUUUGUGGGCCACGCAAAACUCCCUGAGAUUAAACCCAUCGAAAACAAAACCUGUUAUCUUUAGGGCAAAUAGUAAGACGGUUAAGAUAGUUUCGACUCUGAAGUUGUGAGCUUCUGUUAUUGAAAUCGUUGAUAACGUAAAGUUCCUGGGCGUGCACUUUAAGGAAACGUUAUCUUGGGACAAACAUGUCAAUCAUCUCUGUUCUAAGUUGGCAAGCGCAACAGGUAGGAUCCAUAGGUUCAAAAGCCUCUUGCCCUGCCAUGUCAAAAUAGCUGUAUACAACGCAUCGUUCUUAGGGCUUUUAAAUUAUUGUCACCUAGAGUGGGGCCCUACAACUGAAAUAACAUUCGGACCAUUGCAAAAAUUCAGAUUCAGAAAUUCAGAAGAGAUUUUUACGCGCCAUUGCCAAUAUACAAAGCCACGAGACGACCACCUGAAUUUUUCAACAAUACCAGAUAAUAUACGGGCUAGUGACUUCUUUAAAUAGGACUGCUUGUGUGGACUGUCUUAAAUAACAACGAUCAUUUCCUAUCUCUUGCCGAUCUCAAGCUGAAACAAAGUUGCUGUCAUACGAGGAGAAAUGUCACAUGGGAAUACCCAAGAGCCCGAACAGCUUAUGGCGAACAGAGUUUGUCCCGUCAACUCCCACGAGUAUUAAACACAUUUGGCUUCUUCACUAAUGUCAAGGUGCCAUCAAACAAGCAGUUAAAAUGAUUGUUUUGGUAAUAGCGCGGGAGUAUGCGUAUUGUUAUGCGUUUUCUUUUGUUUUGUCAUUGUUUUGUUGUUAAUGUUGCUACUUAGUAUUGCUUUGCAGCGUGCCAUUCAAUUGAUUGUCGCUGCACUGUAGGGGUCUGGGGCCUCUGCCAAGCUAGAUGGGUAGCUUUUUGCUCCGGCUCCAUCACAUUGUGGAAACAAUAAGUAAAUAAAAGCGUACUACAACAAUAAUGGGUUACACAAUAUAUAUAUGUAUGCCGUACGUGUAUGUAUAUAGGUACACACAGAGUAUAUGUACAUAACUUUUAGUACAAAGAAAUAGAAAAAGAAAAUACAAAGCCAUGAUAAUGUGAGAUAAUAAUGUAACAUAUACAACGAAAUUUACGCAUGAUGAAUCAGCAAUGUGGUACAUCAUCAUUGAAAAUGGAUCAUGUGAUAUAAUUUAAUGGCAUGUAAGAGGUCCUGGACACAAGGAAAACACAUAGGAAGGUAACCGGAUGAUAACUACGAGAACAAAUCAGAGAUGGCAGAUGGUUUGUGUUACUGUAGCGAUGUUGCUCGGAAGGUCAUUCCGUUCUAGGACGGUACGGCAAAAAAAUGAUUAAGACGGCACUGUCCUACGGACGACAGGUUAAGUUCGCGUUUCAAAGCAGUGACUGAUGUAUUAGUAGAAAAAUUAUUACAGACGAAUCGCGAUGUUCUGUUUUGAAUGGAUUCGAUAUUACUUGUAAAAUACCUCUAGUGAGGAUCCCAUAUUGAUGAUGCAUAUUCUAGUUUAGGACUAACUAACGUUAGGUACGUGAGUCGUUUUAAGUUAGGUGUGGCCGAUUUAAGAUUGCGUCGGAUGAAGGCUAGGGUGUGAUUAGCAUGUGAGAUUAUUUUAUCAAUAUGGUUACUCCAUGUUAAAUCCGCUGAAAGAUGUACGCCGAGGUACUUGUAAGUACUAGAGGGCGUUAUAAGCGUGUUGUUAAGGGCAUACUGGAAGUGAUACGAGGUUUUACGGCGAUGGAAAUCUACAGGUCAGCAUUUACAUAGGUUUAGUGGCAUCUGCCAAGUGUCUCACCAGGAUUGGAUUGAGGAUAAGGCAUUCUGGUAGUGUUAUUUCAUCGUGACAGGAGCAAUUUUUACGAUAUAGCACGCAGUCAUCGGCGAAGAGACGGACUUGAGAGCAUAUGAAGAUCAUUGAUGUAUACGGAAAACACAAGGGGGCCUAGUGCAGAUCAUUGGGGUAUGCUGGAUUUUGAUAAAGUACAAUUGUCCUAUUCCAAACUCUGCAGUUUUCGUUUGUUGUCGUGGUUGAUGAAUUGAUAAUGCGUCAUAUGGUACUUCCUUAUUAUGGGUCGCUUGAAUCCAGCGUUGAUUAAUGCAACCCACACGAUGUCGCCGUAUUUGUAUCGCUUCAGUAACUUGCAUUUAGUUGGCAUCAACUUGCACAAUUCCUUAUUCAUGUUUGCUUUCUUUAAGUGAAGAUUCUUGAAUGGAGACACAAGACACAACAGACAGGGGACACAAGAGAGUAUUAGAUGAAAAUCGUCCGGUGGUCCACCACAGUUGGUAUGGUCGUUGAGUUUCAAUAAAUGAUGCUAAAUCAGACCUCGUGCAACGAUAUUGAACUUCUGCUGAUUCGAUAUAAUUGCAAGAAAGGGUAGAAGAAAAUAAUUGCGUAACCGUGCCAGUGGAACAUAUAACGUGAUAAGAUUUUUUAUGAACUCUUCCUGUUAAUAGUUACAUGUAAUUUCAACAAAUCCAUAAUGAAUCGUGCGAUAUAGACCACUUGUAUGUAUAUGAUAAUUUGAUCUCACUGCUUUCUUGGUGAAUGCAGUGCCCUUUGCAAUGGUUGCGAUUACCUCUGGUGUCGAGUACUUCAAUUCUUCGUUAGCCGACCUCAAAAACUCCACCAUCAAUCCCAGUGGUCCUUCAGAAGCUGAUGUGCAAACAUUUUUAUAACCAUUGUAGUUCCGGUAUACAAAUUGUUGCACCUUCAGUUCUGUUCUGUUCCUUCUGUUCUGUUCCUACAAUAUCUCCGAAUACGACCAUGUCUAUGACGUAUCGAAAUGCAGUCAUAAUAGAAUCAUUUCGAGCCUCUUCGAAUCAGUUUUUUAUCACCCCCUCCCAGGACUUAUGGUAAAGAGUGCAAAAUCUCUCUAGAUCUAGAUCUCGAUGUAGAGCAUUUCUUUUGUAUUGUUUCUAGUGUGCGUCUACACUUAAUUCAAAUCAUAUCUAUGCUUUAUUGUUAAAAAAUUUGUUAUGCAUCAGGUUUAGAAUAUUAUUAAUAUACCGCAACUGUCUCGAUGGGAAUUAUGGGAAUUAUGUAAGGUGUGCUUUCAAUGAUUCCAAGUAACAGAACGCACGAGAAUCCUCCCAUCCCUACGGACGUAACUGUGCCGGGGGGGGGGGGGGGAGUUUAUGGUCGGUGACUUCCAUCUCUCACUUUAUUGUUCUAAUCCACUAGUUAAUCCUGUUUCUUCAUUGCAAAACACAAGUUUCUGUACUGAUUCUGUAGUGUACUAACGCUGCUUAGAAAUGAUUUGCCUGAAUUAAUUAUUAUUUUGUCUUUGUUUCAGGUGUUCACUCGAUUGAUAUCAAUAAAAAAUAUUCUGUGAGUUGGGAAUUAUGUACGCAGGAUGUAUGAGUUGUCUCUGUUGAUUUCCUCUGUAGGAAACUUUUAAAUGUUUCUCAUUUGCUUAGACAAUGGUUGCCUGAAAUAAAUGUUGCCUUGUA